CCACGUGUAAGCGCUGCCUCCUCUCGCUCAUUUACUUUUCUCGCAUCGAGAGCUCUCCCCGGAACGGCGGUGAGAAGGGACGGGCGGAGGAAAGAUGCCGCACCGCGCGCGGCCGAUGACGGGGCUGCUGGUGUUCAUGGGCGUCAACCUCGUCCUCCUCAGCACCAUCACCCCCGUCUACGACUUCGUCUGCUUCCACCCCUACUGGGACCGCAGGAGAGAACGCCGUCAAAGGGAACGUGAAGCACUGCAAGGCAAUGGUUCUCUAGAAACUGCAAAAUAAACUCUACUAGGUAUCUGCUUACAUUAUUUAUUAGCUUAUCACAUCCUGGAUUGUUCAUUUACGUGUGAUGGAGAAAGUUUGAAGUUGCGACCAGGUUUUUCAGUGUCGAUGCAUCAUUAGAUCUUGUUUCGUGAUGCUCCUGCAAUGUGUGAGUUCUCUGUAAUGACAAACUGAGGAACACCAGACGCAGUGAAAUAAUUUCUUUAAACUACACUGUUAUGUUAUCAACUUCUUGUAUUGAUCUGGUGUUACAUAAGCAAAGGAAAUCAUCUAUUUAGUUCAGACCUGUUGUAAUACAAGUAAAUCAAAUCAUCUGGCCCCACUA
This 608-nucleotide ribosomal RNA is filed under the name Triticum aestivum (bread wheat). Its description in RNAcentral is "partial small subunit ribosomal RNA". Lineage: Eukaryota; Viridiplantae; Streptophyta; Magnoliopsida; Poales; Poaceae. The record is from RNAcentral.